GGGACGGCAGGCAGGGAAGCAGGCAGCAGCCAUCACCAGUUCCAACCUUUGUGGACAAACCGUAAGGGUGAGUACACUUCCUCCUGAAAACCAGCUUCAGAGUUACAGUGUCUCCCCUGUCAGUGCCUCCUGAGUUCUUGGUCAUAGAAGGCAAGUAUAUUAGUUCACCUCUGCCCUACUGUUUAAUGGACUGGGCGACAGGAACCAAUUCUGCAAUCGGAGAGGACAGUGAGCAUUCAGGGAUUAUCUACCAAGCAGAAAAGUGAAGAAUCAAGCGAGCACUCAACACCAUGCACAUGGAUGUUUACAUUUGGGGGAAGCUUGUCCCUGUCUACCCAAAUAUCCAGACAGUGCCUUUGAGGGCAAUGUUACCCGGAGUGCACUGCUCACUGAUAAACUCCACCUUCCACCUGCCCUCAUAGUGUCUCUUGAGAGGACUAAGAGAAAUAUUUAUGUCUACUUAAUUGUAUAGAUAAUUUUCUUCAUAUUGCCAGUAGGAGUUUUCAGUGUUGAAAUUUUGGAUACAAAGUGAAACUAAAAAAUUUAUUUGUAUUGCAGUGGAGAUCCGAUGCUAUGUCAUAUAUGUUACUAUACCAUGUGUCAAGUGUGUUAUUACACCAUGUGUCAUGUAUGUUACUACACCAUGUGUCAUAUAUGUUAUACUAUGUGUCAUGUGUUUUUGCAGCAUGUGUCAAGUGUAUUAUUCUACCAUGUGUCAUGUGUUACUACAUAUAUCAUGUAUGUUACCAUACUAUGUGUCAAGUGUGUUAUUACACCAUGUGUCAUAUGUGUUACUACAUUCUCUGCAUAAAAUAAACUGACAACUAAAGCAUGUAAACAACUUAACAAAGGUUACACUAGUAAAACAGAGACUAAAAUUGAACC
Long non-coding RNA from Mastomys coucha (southern multimammate mouse), 885 nucleotides. RefSeq lists it as uncharacterized. The transcript is spliced from 3 exons. The record is from RefSeq and is a predicted model, not a curated record. Lineage: Eukaryota; Metazoa; Chordata; Mammalia; Rodentia; Muridae.